RNAcentral lists this long non-coding RNA (290 nucleotides) under Solanum tuberosum (potato). RNAcentral's name for it is "long non-coding RNA (STUB_LNC000712)". Lineage: Eukaryota; Viridiplantae; Streptophyta; Magnoliopsida; Solanales; Solanaceae. The record is from RNAcentral.
UAUGUUGUCCUUGUCAAGAAAUUAUGCUAUUAGAUAAAAAAUUCAUGAUUGGAUGAUUUAAAGGACAGUGAUCAAACAAAAAACAAAACACUUCUACUAUUUUUUUUUGGAGAUUCAAGAAAUUAUACUAUAUGAUCUAGUUUCAUGACAUGACAAUGAUCAAGAAAAAGCUUAGUCCCUCCUAAUUCCUUACCCCUACAAGACAAGAAAGACACAAAUCCAUAGCCCUCAUAAAAAGUCAAGCUUCUACACCAAAAGUCAAGGCCUGUAAAAGAAACAUCCCCAUUUCC